AGCCAUUCAUUUAAAGAGUGCGUAACAGCUCACUAGUCGAGUGAUCCCGCGUGGAUAAUAAUCGGGCAUAAGUCCGGUACCGAAGCCAUGGAAUCACGCUUAGGGCGUGAUUGGUAGGGGAGCAUUCCGUACAGCGGCGAAGGUCGGUGGCGAUGCCGGCUGGAGCGUACGGAAAAGCAAAUGUAGGUAUAAGUAACGAUAAUGGAGGCGAGAAACCUCCACGCCGAAAGACCAAGGUUUCCUGAUCAACGCUAAUCGGAUCAGGGUAAGUCGGGACCUAAGGGGCAGCCGCGAGGCGGACCCGAUGGAAGAAACGGUAAAGAUUCCGUUACUGUCGCCGGGAGUGAAGCGGGGACGGAGGAGUGACACCGCCGCGGACUGACGGAAUAGUCCGUUGAAGAGUGUAGGUAUUCGGAGGCCAGGCAAAUCCGGUCUCCGAGCUGAACUUGACAGUACUGCGAGCCUUCGGGCAAGCAGACAGCGCGGGUAAGCAGACUCCCAAGAAAAUCCGCUAAACAUAUGUCGGCGACACCCGUACCGCAAACGGACACACGUGGUCGGGUAGAACAUACUAAGGCGCUCGAGAGAUUCACCGUUAAGGAACUAGGCAAAUUGACCUCGUAACUUCGGGAUAAGGGGUCCCACAGCGAUGUGGGCGCAGAGAAUAGGUCCAGGCAACUGUUUAACAAAAACACAGGGCUGUGCGAAAUUUAAAGAUGAAGUAUACAGCCUGACACCUGCCCGGUGCCGGAAGGUUAAGAGGAGAAGUCAUCGCAAGAGAAGCUUUGAAUUGAAGCCCCGGUAAACGGCGGCCGUAACUAUAACGGUCCUAAGGUAGCGAAAUUCCUUGUCGGGUAAGUUCCGACCUGCACGAAUGGUGUAAUGAUCUGGACACUGUCUCAACGGUGAGCUCGGUGAAAUUGUAGUAUCGGUGAAGAUGCCGAUUACCCGCAACGGGACGAAAAGACCCCGUGAACCUUUACUGCAGCUUAGCAUUGGGACCGGGUGCGUGAUGUGUAGGAUAGUCCGGAGACAGCGAAGCGGGGGCGCCAGCCCUCGCGGAGUCGACGUUGAAAUACGGACCUUUGCGCAUCUGGUCUCUAACUCGCGGAAAGCGAGGACACUGCUUGGUGGGUAGUUUGACUGGGGUGGUCGCCUCCAAAAGCGUAACGGAGGCUUCUAAAGGUGCCCUCAGACCGAUUGGUAACCGGUCGCAGAGUGUAAUGGCAUAAGGGCGCUUGACUGAGAGGACGACAAUCCGAACAGGUAGGAAACUAGAGCAUAGUGAUCCGGCGGUACCGCAUGGAAGGGCCGUCGCUCAAAGGAUAAAAGGUACUCCGGGGAUAACAGGCUGAUCCCUCCCAAGAGCUCAUAUCGACGGAGUGGUUUGGCACCUCGAUGUCGGCUCGUCACAUCCCGGGGCUGGAGAAGGUCCCAAGGGUUAGGCUGUUCGCCUAUUAAAGUGGCACGCGAGCUGGGUUCAGAACGUCGUGAGACAGUUCGGUCUCUAUCUGUUGUGGGCGCGGGAGAUUUGCGGGGAUCCGACACUAGUACGAGAGGACCGUGUUGGACCGACCUCCGGUGAGCCGGUUGUACCGCCAGGUGCACGGCCGGGUAGCCGCGUCGGGGACGGAUAAGUGCUGAAAGCAUCUAAGCACGAAGCCAACCUCAAGAUAAGAUCUCCAUACAGGGCCGUCGAAGACGACGACGUCGAUAGGCUGCAGGUGUAAAGUCAGUGAUGGCAAAGCCGAGCAGUACUAAUUGCCCGAAAGCUUUCAGA
Molecule: ribosomal RNA, 1780 nt
Filed under: human gut metagenome
Description: bacterial LSU rRNA
Rfam family: Bacterial large subunit ribosomal RNA
Source: RNAcentral